CAGCUAGCUAGCUAGCUAGAUAUACAUACAUACAUACAUACAUAGACUACACACACAAAAAAUAGCUUCUGAAAUGCAAUCUGUAUUCAAUUAUUCUGUCCAUUUGAUUUUUGUAACUUAGAACCACAUGGGAGAAAAUACUGAAAUGAGAAGUAUCAUGGAGUAAUGGAGAAAGAGGUGAUUUGUAGUUAUAUAGACACCAAUGCCUGUCUCAAACCCAUUUCUGCUCUUUUCCAACUGUGUGACCACUUAAGGCACUGAUUCCCACUUCACUAAUGUGAGAAAUAAAAAAGAAACAUAUAAAAGUAAGAACACUUAGCAUUAGGAUUUAGACAUUCAAUUUUAGGUCUUCUUUUCUAAUUAUAGUGUUUUUAUUUUUCAAUCAAUAAUAUGAGCAGUUGAAGUUUUCUCUACUCUAACCCACACCCACAUAAAUAAUCUAAGAUAUGGUAAGAGGAUUGAAGACAUAAGGAAAGAGAUUUAAUAAAGAAUUUUUGAUAUUGGAUAGUUGACAACUUUCAAGUAGCACUUCCCCCUUCACUUCUGUCCCACAUCUGGACAAACUGGAUAAAAAGUUAUUGGUGCUCCCUUCUUUGGCAAUAUAGAGAAGCUCAAACCAUGUAAACUCAGUCAUGUUUGUGGGAACCCUCACCUAACCAUGAUACAACCCUAAGCUAUUGCCCCUUUUUAUUUUCUUUCUCUUUCAAGCCAUUUUGGGACCAGCCUGAGAGCAUACUCUGCUCUACCCAGAAAGCUCAGUGUGGUACCAGGAAUAAUGUGGGAGGCUGGAUUGAAGUCUGGGCCAGGAACAACGGUAAUUGUGGGAGACUCAACAAAGAGUGAGUAUAGCUGAAGGAGCCGGGAAGCAGAAAGUAUAUGCGUCAGUUACUUCAGGCCAUCUGGG
This 904-nucleotide long non-coding RNA is filed under the name Homo sapiens (human). RNAcentral's name for it is "HSALNT0336583". The record is from RNAcentral. Lineage: Eukaryota; Metazoa; Chordata; Mammalia; Primates; Hominidae.